UGCGCUGAGGUCUCCUGUGGAACAAGGAAGGAUGGGGAGACACACAGAUGUUUUAGGAAAUCAGAGAGGAGUCCAGUCCUCCCUCAUUCCUGGAACCCUGAGUGUCAGAACCUCUUGGGCUACACUCAGAUGUCUGGUUUUCCAGCCUCUGAAACCAUCAGAUGUUCAGUUUACCUCCAGUGACCUGAAGUUUUCCUUGAUAGCAUCGAUUUGUAUCGUUGGGGCAGGGAAGAGAAGGAGCAUUCAAACAGGACCCCAAAGCCAGACAGGUUGGGCAGCGGAGGGCUGUUGACUCUCUGGGAGCUGAAGGGGGAGAGAGAGGGACAAGUAAGGGCGCGUCCCGCCUCUCGAGUUGCCUCCCCUUGCUGCCUUCUCUUCCUCAAGUCUUUCCUGCUGAUGCCUCUCUACUCAAGGACUAUUAAUACCACCUCCCCACCCCUCUCCGACUGAUCUCUGUGCUGUCAGAACCCCAUCCAACAUGACUUCCAAACUCUGUGCUCAGGUGUGGAGAUACAGAUAUGAAAAGGACACAGUUCCUGCCAUCUAGGAUCACUGCCUUGCAGGAGACAGACAUGAACGCCCUGGAACGCUCCACUCGCCCAGCCGGGCCUUCUCCUUCUGGUCUUUCCGAGGCACGGAAGGCGGGGCCUGCUUCACCGGACAGAUCACUCGAAGCCCCGUUGGUCGAUACGAAAGCAUCUGAUGAGCUCAUUGGAUGAGCCUGGAGGAACGCCGCACCCCAUUGGCCUAUCCCUGGCUGCCUUGCCAGCCUGGCCCCUGCCCCAGCACCCAUCCAGUGGCCGUAGCCGCUGGAAGUCAACUUGGCCUUCUCACCCGUCGCUUGCAGUGGUCCCUGCUCAGCCCAGGCCUCAUGAUCUGAACACGUCAUGGCACCAGCCUCCUCCGUGACCUUCUGGAAGGCUGAAUAGAGUAAUGCGGGCUUCAGUGUUACUUCCGGCACCCCUGAAUGACAGAUUGCCAUCGUAUCUAACCCACGUGUGUCAGUAUCAUGAACACGUUGUAUCAUUCAGAUUUCUUGUUCAUGGCUGGAAUAUCCUAUUUCAUAUAUAUAUGUAUAUAUAUAUAUAAGCUUUCUGAUGUAACAUGAAGUAGAGAUGCCCUUUGUGUUCUUUCAGACUUGGUACU
Balaenoptera musculus (blue whale) is the source of this 1146-nucleotide long non-coding RNA. RefSeq lists it as uncharacterized. Lineage: Eukaryota; Metazoa; Chordata; Mammalia; Artiodactyla; Balaenopteridae. The transcript is spliced from 3 exons. The record is from RefSeq and is a predicted model, not a curated record.